ACACGUGCACCUCGCGGGGAUCACCUGGCACAGGCACCCUGACUGGGCUGGCAGAGCUGCUGAAACUCCUGCUCCCACCCAGGGCAGCUUUGUGGGCCCUGCGGGGGGAUCCCUCUGUCCCCAUCGGCACCUCCGUGGUCCUUGUUGCAAGUUCACAGCAGAAAGGCUGAUGCCAGUUCCCAAGGUCCCCGGGGUCGAGGACAAAGCCAGAAACCAGGGCAUCAUUUACCCAGAACACCGCCAUCACAGCAGCAGGCAUGUGCAGCACUGGGAAAUUGCAUGUUCCAGAAGCUUCUGUGAGGAGUCUGCCGGGCUGUGAGGCAUCCCUGAAGUGGACAUUCUGUCACCCCCUCCAUGGGGGAGCGGGCCAGGUGGGAAGGCAGACCUGUGCUCUUGCUUCAGUCCCUGAGGGCCAAGACCACCCCCUUUACAGAGGACACUGGAGAGUGUGAGCCAGGGCCUGGGCCCCACCCUGGAACCUGCCCUGGGUGUCCCCAGGGGACACCUGCAGGGGAGUUAACACAGGAAUGAAUAUAGGAGUUGUGAGCAAUCCCCAUCUUGUUCCAUAGGACACCCGUGGUGGACACCAGUGCUGCCCUACCUGCCCUGCCAUGCACCUGAGGCUGCCGGGUGUUUGAGAGGCUGGCGCAGCUGCAGCCUGAACCCCCCUAUCUUAGGUGUGAUGUUUGUUUCAUGGCCACAUGUGCUAGUGGCCCCCGUGUAGGGGUGGGAGAGAGACACGCACCGUUGAACAAACGCGGGAGGCCUUCUAAAAGGAACUGCUGGGGGAAGCUUGGGCGGGUCCAGGGCGGUCUUACAGGCCUGGAGUGGGGCCAAGGAGCCCAGAGAUGUGGAGAGUGCUGGGGCAUUGGCCCCUCUUUCUGCGCCCCCUGUCCCGUCCCCAGACCUGGAGUCGCCCUGCACCCAGGACCCACUGAGUGUAGCCAGAGGGAAGCCUGGAGAGCCAGGGGAGGGAGCCCCAUGCCCAGGAUGUGGAGGACAGCUGCCCUCGACCUGACCAGGGGGCCCUGGAGUCUGGGCUGCAUCUGUGGGCUCCAGCUACUGCACCUGACACCUCGGGAAGCCCAUCACCCAGGAAAAUGAGGCAAAGACCCCACAACCUCAGGGCUCCAUUCGGCAAGCUCUUGGGCUGUCUCCAGUGAUUUACACCUCAACAAGGGCCCGUCCUCGAACUGGACGAGGAGCAGGAUGGGUGCAGGGUCCCCUCAUCAGAGAGACUGCACCUGACAUUCUCUCCUGGGGACACACGAGCAUUCACCUCUCAGCACAGCGUGGAGACGAAGCAGAGCCCUCCGUAUACCCCACACCUCAGAUGACCCCAGCUGGCGGAGCCAUCGGGAAACAGCCAGGGAGCUGCUCCAGGGACGCCCAGGUCCCGGCCCCAGACCCUACACCUAUGUCGCCUUCUGUGGCAAAAGGAACUCUGCUUAUGGGAUGGAAUGAAGCAUCUUGAGCUGGGCACCAUCCUGGAUUAUCCAGAGCUCAGCGUAUUGAAGUCACUGAGGUCCUUCUAAGAGGGAGGCAGAAUCCAAGAGAAGUGGAGGGUCAAUGCUGCUGGCUUUGAAGAUGGAGGAGAGCCUCCAGCAAGGGACGGAGUGGCUCUAGCAGCUGUGCAGGCAGGACACAGACCUCCCCGGCAGCCCCAGGGAUUGCCCUGCCGACACCUCGCGUUGGACUCCUACUCCCAGAG
Marmota monax (woodchuck) is the source of this 1711-nucleotide long non-coding RNA. RefSeq lists it as uncharacterized. The record is from RefSeq and is a predicted model, not a curated record. The transcript is spliced from 5 exons. Lineage: Eukaryota; Metazoa; Chordata; Mammalia; Rodentia; Sciuridae.